CCUACGGGAGGCAGCAGUAGGGAAUAUUGGACAAUGGGUGCGAGCCUGAUCCAGCCAUGCCGCGUGCAGGAAGAAGGCCUUCUGGGUUGUAAACUGCUUUUGCCGGGGGAUAAAAGACCCAUGCGUGGGGAAUUGAAGGUACCCGGUGAAUAAGCCACGGCUAACUACGUGCCAGCAGCCGCGGUAAUACGUAGGUGGCGAGCGUUGUCCGGAUUUAUUGGGUUUAAAGGGUGCGUAGGCGGCCCCGUAAGUCAGUGGUGAAAUACGGCAGCUCAACUGUCGAGGUGCCAUUGAUACUGCGGGGCUUGAGUACAGUCGAGGUAGGCGGAAUUGACGGUGUAGCGGUGAAAUGCUUAGAUAUCGUCAAGAACACCGAUAGCGAAGGCAGCUUGCUAGGCUGUAACUGACGCUGAGGCACGAAAGUGCGGGGAUCAAACAGGAUUAGAUACCCUGGUAGUCCGCACAGUAAACGAUGGUCACUCGGUGUUGGCGGUACACGGCCAGCGCCUUAGCGAAAGCGUUAAGUGACCACCUGGGGAGUACGCCCGCAAGGGUGAAACUUAAGGAAUUGACGG
Molecule: ribosomal RNA, 575 nt
Filed under: uncultured bacterium
Lineage: Bacteria
Description: bacterial SSU rRNA
Rfam family: Bacterial small subunit ribosomal RNA
Source: RNAcentral